AGUCGACGAUGAACCACUUCGGUGGGGAUUAGUGGCGAACGGGUGAGUAACACGUGGGCAAUCUGCCCUUCACUCUGGGACAAGCCCUGGAAACGGGGUCUAAUACCGGAUACAACCACCGGCCGCAUGGUCUGGUGGUGGAAAGCUCCGGCGGUGAAGGAUGAGCCCGCGGCCUAUCAGCUUGUUGGUGAGGUAACGGCUCACCAAGGCGACGACGGGUAGCCGGCCUGAGAGGGCGACCGGCCACACUGGGACUGAGACACGGCCCAGACUCCUACGGGAGGCAGCAGUGGGGAAUAUUGCACAAUGGGCGAAAGCCUGAUGCAGCGACGCCGCGUGAGGGAUGACGGCCUUCGGGUUGUAAACCUCUUUCAGCAGGGAAGAAGCGAAAGUGACGGUACCUGCAGAAGAAGCGCCGGCUAACUACGUGCCAGCAGCCGCGGUAAUACGUAGGGCGCGAGCGUUGUCCGGAAUUAUUGGGCGUAAAGAGCUCGUAGGCGGUCUGUCGCGUCGGAUGUGAAAGCCCGGGGCUUAACCCCGGGUCUGCAUUCGAUACGGGCAGACUAGAGUGUGGUAGGGGAGAUCGGAAUUCCUGGUGUAGCGGUGAAAUGCGCAGAUAUCAGGAGGAACACCGGUGGCGAAGGCGGAUCUCUGGGCCAUUACUGACGCUGAGGAGCGAAAGCGUGGGGAGCGAACAGGAUUAGAUACCCUGGUAGUCCACGCCGUAAACGGUGGGAACUAGGUGUUGGCGACAUUCCACGUCGUCGGUGCCGCAGCUAACG
RNAcentral lists this ribosomal RNA (782 nucleotides) under Streptomyces sp. RNAcentral describes it as "bacterial SSU rRNA". It matches the Rfam family "Bacterial small subunit ribosomal RNA", at positions 60 to 857 of the family's 1533-position model. Lineage: Bacteria; Bacillati; Actinomycetota; Actinomycetes; Kitasatosporales; Streptomycetaceae. The record is from RNAcentral.